This 270-nucleotide ribosomal RNA is filed under the name uncultured bacterium. RNAcentral's name for it is "partial 16S ribosomal RNA". It matches the Rfam family "Bacterial small subunit ribosomal RNA", at positions 524 to 776 of the family's 1533-position model. The record is from RNAcentral.
GACGGGGGAUGCAAGCGUUAUCCGGAAUGAUUGGGCGUAAAGGGUCCGCAGGUGGCCCGGUCAGUCCGCUGUCGAAAGCCCUGGGGGCUCAACCCUGGGAGAGGCGGCGGAGACCACCGGGGCUUGGAGUCCGGGUAGGGGCAGAGGGGAAUUCCCGGUGGAGCGGUGAAAUGCGUGAGAGGAUCGGGAAAGAACGCCAAGGGCGAAGGCACUCUGCUAGGCCUGAUUCGCGACUGACAGCUCAGGGACGAGAGCCAGGGAGCGAAUGGG